RNAcentral lists this long non-coding RNA (988 nucleotides) under Dasypus novemcinctus (nine-banded armadillo). Its description in RNAcentral is "lncRNA (ENSDNOG00000051477.1)". Lineage: Eukaryota; Metazoa; Chordata; Mammalia; Cingulata; Dasypodidae. The record is from RNAcentral.
CACCAAACUCAUCCAUUCAGCGAGUUUCCAGAGGCCCCGCCGCGUGGGCGCACGAGCUCAGGCAGCUCCCCACCCUCCAGGAGGUCACGGUGGGCGCGCAGGAGGUCACGGUGGGCGCGCAGGAGGCAGGUGGUAGCGUUCCCGCAGGUUCUUCCCACCUCCCUGUAUCCUCCCAGAUAUGUGCAUCAGAGAGGUGUGCUUUCAAACCUGCAUGGGGGAGAUAGAACCAGCUCUAAGUAUGGGGAGCUGAUUCCAGAAGCUACCUCUCCAGGAGAGGAAGGAAUGGUGGGUGGAAGCUGCUCCCAGAAUUUUUGUGGGCAACCCGGCCUUUUGCAUCCUCCCUUCUCCAUUUCUUCCUUUUUUCUUUCCCUGUUGCCAGAAUCUUAGAAUGUCAUUAUGAAUUCAUGUUGUUUAUAUGUAUUUCAAUGAAGUGCAAUAAUUAUUAUUAAUUUUUUUGAGGUACCAGGACCAAGGAUGUGGGAAGCUGGCAUUCCACCACUGAGCAACACUGGCAGUCAGUGAAAAAUUAUUUUUAUAAUGCUUUAUUGGAUAUGGGUUCACAUACCAUAAACUUCAACCUUUUAAAGAGUACAAUUCAAUAGUUUUGACUAUAUUCACAGAGUUGUGCAACCAUCACCUCUAUCUAAUUUUAGGACAUUUUCAUCACCCCAAAGAUAAAACCUCCUGAAUUCAUUACCAGUCACUCCCCAAUUCCUGGUAACCAGUAAUCUACCUUCUGUGACUCUGGAUUUGCCUAUUCAGAACAUUUCAUAUAAAUGGAACCCUACAAUAUAUGGCCUUUUGUGACUUACUUCUUUCACUUAGCAUGUCUUUAAGGGUCAUCCCUGUUGUGGCAUGUAUCAUUACUUCAUUCCUUUUUAGGGUGGAAUCACAAGCCACUAUAUGAUAAAUAAACCCCAUUUUGUUUGUCCAUUCAUCAGUCAAUGGGCAUUUGGGUUGUUUCCAUUUGGGGCUUUUUUAAGUACUG